CCUAAAUCAAGCAAUAAUCAAAAUCUGAACAUGGAAUCGUGAUCACCUCGUCAAGGGGAUCAUAAGGAAAGGAAUCCGGGACGUCAAGUGGACACGCCGGAAGUGAUACCCGCGGAAAAGGUGUGCUUUAAAGGUGACUAUGGUGGGCUUCCGGAUGGCGGUCAAGAAAUGUAGAAGAACCGAACACGUAUUUUGAAUCUUCCGCGUUAACUUAACUUUGUUUUAGACAAUCAUUUUGAUGUAAAUGAA
Molecule: long non-coding RNA, 249 nt
Organism: Helianthus annuus (common sunflower)
Lineage: Eukaryota; Viridiplantae; Streptophyta; Magnoliopsida; Asterales; Asteraceae
Exons: 3
Source: RefSeq, a predicted model, not a curated record